GGUAAGGCACCUUGUAGAAGACGAGGUAGAUAGGCCGGGGGUGUAAGAGCGGAAACGCUUUUAGCUGACCGGUACUAAUAAGCCGAGGACUUGACCCUGA
This 100-nucleotide ribosomal RNA is filed under the name Caldanaerobacter subterraneus subsp. yonseiensis KB-1. RNAcentral describes it as "partial 23S ribosomal RNA". It matches the Rfam family "Bacterial large subunit ribosomal RNA", at positions 2827 to 2925 of the family's 2925-position model. The record is from RNAcentral. Lineage: Bacteria; Bacillati; Bacillota; Clostridia; Thermoanaerobacterales; Thermoanaerobacteraceae.